ACUUGCCUUUGCGAGGGGGAUAACAGUUGGAAACGACUGCUAAUACCGCAUAAUGUCUACGGACCAAACAGGGCUUCGGCUCUGGCGCAAAGAGAGGCCCAAGUGAGAUUAGCUAGUUGGUGAGGUAAAGGCUCACCAAGGCAACGAUCUCUAGCUGUUCUGAGAGGAAGAUCAGCCACACUGGGACUGAGACACGGCCCAGACUCCUACGGGAGGCAGCAGUGGGGAAUAUUGCACAAUGGGGGAAACCCUGAUGCAGCCAUGCCGCGUGUGUGAAGAAGGCCUUCGGGUUGUAAAGCACUUUCAGUUGUGAGGAAAAGUUAGUAGUUAAUACCUGCUAGCCGUGACGUUAACAACAGAAGAAGCACCGGCUAACUCCGUGCCAGCAGCCGCGGUAAUACGGAGGGUGCGAGCGUUAAUCGGAAUUACUGGGCGUAAAGCGCACGCAGGCGGUUUGUUAAGCUAGAUGUGAAAGCCCCGGGCUCAACCUGGGACGGUCAUUUAGAACUGGCAGACUAGAGUCUUGGAGAGGGGAGUGGAAUUCCAGGUGUAGCGGUGAAAUGCGUAGAUAUCUGGAGGAACAUCAGUGGCGAAGGCGACUCCCUGGCCAAAGACUGACGCUCAUGUGCGAAAGUGUGGGUAGCGAACAG
RNAcentral lists this ribosomal RNA (650 nucleotides) under uncultured bacterium. RNAcentral describes it as "bacterial SSU rRNA". It matches the Rfam family "Bacterial small subunit ribosomal RNA", at positions 124 to 775 of the family's 1533-position model. The record is from RNAcentral.